RNAcentral lists this ribosomal RNA (137 nucleotides) under Escherichia coli. Its description in RNAcentral is "partial 16S ribosomal RNA". It matches the Rfam family "Bacterial small subunit ribosomal RNA", at positions 1 to 129 of the family's 1533-position model. RNAcentral also lists the same sequence under 6 other names. The record is from RNAcentral. Lineage: Bacteria; Pseudomonadati; Pseudomonadota; Gammaproteobacteria; Enterobacterales; Enterobacteriaceae.
UUAAAUUGAAGAGUUUGAUCAUGGCUCAGAUUGAACGCUGGCGGCAGGCCUAACACAUGCAAGUCGAACGGUAACAGGAAGCAGCUUGCUGCUUUGCUGACGAGUGGCGGACGGGUGAGUAAUGUCUGGGAAACUGC